RNAcentral lists this ribosomal RNA (434 nucleotides) under uncultured bacterium. RNAcentral describes it as "partial 16S ribosomal RNA". It matches the Rfam family "Bacterial small subunit ribosomal RNA", at positions 29 to 507 of the family's 1533-position model. The record is from RNAcentral.
AGCGAACGCUGGCGGCAGGCCUAACACAUGCAAGUCGAACGAACCUUUCGGGGUUAGUGGCGGACGGGUGAGUAACACGUGGGAACGUGCCUUUAGGUUCGGAAUAACUCAGGGAAACUUGUGCUAAUACCGAAUGUGCCCUUCGGGGGAAAGAUUUAUCGCCUUUAGAGCGGCCCGCGUCUGAUUAGCUAGUUGGUUGAGGUAAUGGCUCACCAAGGCGACGAUCAGUAGCUGGUCUGAGAGGAUGAUCAGCCACAUUGGGACUGAGACACGGCCCAAACUCCUACGGUAGGCAGCAGUGGGGAAUCUUGCGCAAUGGGCGAAAGCCUGACGCAGCCAUGCCGCGUGAAUGAUGAAGGUCUUAGGAUUGUAAAAUUCUUUCACCGGGGACGAUAAUGACGGUACCCGGAGAAGAAGCCCCGGCUAACUUCGUG